This 30-nucleotide transfer RNA is filed under the name Crotalus viridis viridis (prairie rattlesnake). RNAcentral's name for it is "partial tRNA-Thr". The record is from RNAcentral. Lineage: Eukaryota; Metazoa; Chordata; Lepidosauria; Squamata; Viperidae.
GUAAACCAAAGCCGGAUAUUCCUUAGAGCA